This 263-nucleotide unclassified non-coding RNA is filed under the name rhizosphere metagenome. RNAcentral's name for it is "partial ribosomal RNA internal transcribed spacer region". The record is from RNAcentral.
GUAGGUGAACCUGCGGAAGGAUCAUUAUUGAUUUAAAGAUGUGCUGGCACUCCUUCACAGGUUUGCAUGUGCACUCUGCAAAAUCUCCUUCUCUUACCCCAUUGUGCAUACUCCAGUAGGCAAACAGAGAUUCAUAGAGCAAUCUGUGCAAUCUCAUUUGCCUAUGUUUUUAUCAAACACCAACAUGUCAGAAUGAUCUAUGUAGUAAGCUUUUAACAAGCUGAAAUCUAAUACAACUUUCAACAAUGGAUCUCUUGGUUCUC